RNAcentral lists this unclassified non-coding RNA (203 nucleotides) under Hevea brasiliensis (rubber tree). Lineage: Eukaryota; Viridiplantae; Streptophyta; Magnoliopsida; Malpighiales; Euphorbiaceae. The record is from RNAcentral.
GUGGCUGGAAGCCCAGGAAGGACACCAUCCUCUCUUAAUAAGAUCAGUACUAAGGAAGCAUCUGAUCAGAAAUUUGAGAAACCAUGUGCAGCUGAAUUUGAUGGUCAUAUACUGGCAACCUAAGUGCAAGAAGAGUUUCUGGAGAUGCCCCUGAGCGAGAUUGACUUUUCAAAGAAUUCACCAUCUCAAAUGAGACCGAGUCC